Long non-coding RNA from Octopus sinensis (East Asian common octopus), 94 nucleotides. RefSeq lists it as uncharacterized. The record is from RefSeq and is a predicted model, not a curated record. NCBI's taxonomy places the organism in Eukaryota, Metazoa, Mollusca, Cephalopoda, Octopoda, Octopodidae. The transcript is spliced from 3 exons.
AAAAAGGUGGAAUGCUACCAGUUGCGCACUGGAGCUGAUCUAAUAGACUGGCCCCUUCCCUCAAAUUUUCGGGCGUUGUACCUAGAGUAGGUAA